UGCCUAAGUGAUUCUGAAACAAGAGGUACAAGGAACGACUCAAGAAAAAGCUGCCCAAGAAACUGCAGGCAGAAACUGAGAGUCAAGGUCUUCAUCCACAGUCAUCAGAAGGGGCAACCUUGACAAUACCUUGACUUUGAACAUCUGACCCCCACAAGUAUAAGACUACACUUCCCCAUUGUUUAAGCCACCCACAGCAGACAUAGAAAACUCCAAGAAGUAAAACUUUACUUAUUUAAUGCAGAGGAUACUGGGCCAAGACACACCAACCAGGACAUUGAAGACUGAUUGACAAUUGAUGACUGAAUCCAAGAAACUGAACGAAAUAUUUACUUCUAAGCAACAGAGGAUAAGGUGGUACCUGCUUGGAAUUUUUGGUUAUGAUUGUGAAACUUGAUUUACUUUGACCCUGAUGUUAGAAACCACUGACACAGAACUCAAAGAAACGCAACAAACAAAUUCAUAACCAGGCCAGAUCAAGCUCAGCACAGGCAUCAUUUGUUGUCACCCUGAACAAGGCCACCAUGUUGACAGUGUGCUACAGGACUUAGGACCUCACAUUCACCUCUCGUCAGGUGGGGCCAACUCAUGCCAACUCUAGGGGGUCUGUGGAUGGUGUGGGCUGAUAUCUGAGAAAAGAACUUGAGGAGCCCAAGAGUCAGCCAAGUCAAGCCACACUGUCAGUAGAGACAAAACCAUCUCCUCUCACUGCUGAAGCAUGGCUGCAUGAUACCCAGGAGGAGGUAUGGCCUUGGGUAUUAUUUAUGAAUCACCAUGUACACAGCUGUGUCAUCAGUAGCCUCUAGGAUUGGAAGAGCAAACUGAACUUUGAGGGGAACGAUGUGAUCUCUUUUGGCCUCUAACUAAUUGAAGCCAACUAAUUGAAGAACUAAGGAAGCCCCUAUUCUCUCACUUAUCACUUUUCUUUCAGGUAAAAUAUUGGGGCAUAUCUGCCUUGCAGCUUUAUUACAGACUUUAUUUCAUUAACAAAUUUUUCCUCCUACAGAAAAGAGGUAUCUUCAGCUUUAAAAGCAUAUUAUGAAUCUUAAAAACUGGCAGGCACUCUGAACCUCUCUCCCAUCUCCAUCUUUCUUCCCUUUCUGCAUCAUGGUUCUAUAACUUACCAGCUGCAUGACCUUGACCUUCCUAUCGCUAAGCCUCAAUUUUGUUAUCGCUACAAUGAUAGUAUAUACCACUUCAGAGGACUGUGGAGAAGAUUCAAUGAGUUCAUGUCCUGUGUUUAAAAUACAGCCUGUUAUGCAGUAAGCACUGUGUCCUGUCUUUUGGAACCUGAACUUCCUCAAGGCCAAGAUCAGGGAGUUGCCAUUGUGUUUCCUAUUACUCAUUUAGCAGUGUCUACUCCCUCACCCUGCAUGGCUGUAAAAAUUGUUCUAUGGGUAUUACUGAGAAUCUGAGCAAAGAACCCAUGUUCUCUGAGUUCUGAACCAGUUCAGGUUGAUAUCUGUCAUCUGUUGCUCCAGCCCAGUGGAUUUGUGCUUGAGCCACCUGCCAAUGUAUUGUAGUUUCCUUGUACUUCAUUGCUGUAACCAACGUUCCUCCUGUCUCUGGGUAUACAUUGGAACAUAGAAGCCACUUAGUACUCAUUAGCUGGUAUGGCCUGUUGCUAGAGGUGUAGUAUCACUGAAUGUCUGAUGAACAAUGAUUGAGAAAAUACCUGAUAAUUUUUAGCUGCAAAUAACUGAAUACACCUUAGCUGUAUUCAACCUAAAAAAAAAAAAAAGUGCUACCUUAUAAUAGGGAACUCCAAGAAUCUUAGAAGGGUUAGAGAAUGCAAGUCAAAGGUAACACCUCAAUUAUAUUCUGGGACAUUCAAGAAAGACCCUAGAGCCACACACAUAUCAUUGUACAUGUACUGCACCAAAUGCUACAUUUCAGAGUUUUUCCAGGGUCCUUCUGCAUGCCAGUUAUAUCACUGCUACCUGCCAUUUUUAUUAUUUCUUACCAUACUGCCUUCUUCAUAUCACUUCUCUCCAGAUUGAAGUCACAUGUAACAUCUGUAGAGCCUAAUUCCCAUAUCUGUGGACUGGUGGCAAAGAGGACUGGGAAUAAGACUUUCUGCUUCUACUAUAUGAAGGUGAAACCAUAAAGAGAGGAACUGGGGUACAAAGUUUUGAACAAUAAAAAAAUCAAAGCAAAUAUCCAUAUAGAUAGAUGAUCUCAAGGACAGCCUUCUAGGGUCCCUUGCACACCAGUAAUGUAAGCAUGAGCAGAAAGGCACUGGGAGACCUCGAAGCCUCCAGGUAGCCACAGAAGUCCAGAAAAACCUGCUAGAUACACUGGUCAGAACAAGGAUGGUGUAAAGCAUACACACCUUAAAAGCCAGAGUCCACGGUAGGACGUGAGGACCCUUCAGGCAUGACCAACACCCACAGACCAUGGGCUUGAGUUGCCUCAGUAGAGGUUGGAUUGUGGCAGAGAAUGGUACUCAGACUAGAUUCCCUUCCCCAGUUGCCAAGUGUCAAUAGAAGUCUCUGAGAACUGGAUCACCCUGGGGGAAAGAUAAAAGCAGAAAGGGAAGGGGGAAACUCUGAGUGUGAUGCUGCAUAGAGCCUGGUCCUAUAUCAUAAGUCACAGUAUUUAUUACCUUCAGUUGGAAAGUGUGGGAAUAAACAAA
Non-coding RNA from Ictidomys tridecemlineatus (thirteen-lined ground squirrel), 2635 nucleotides. Lineage: Eukaryota; Metazoa; Chordata; Mammalia; Rodentia; Sciuridae. The record is from RefSeq and is a predicted model, not a curated record.